RNAcentral lists this small RNA (32 nucleotides) under Bombyx mori (domestic silkworm). RNAcentral describes it as "ovarian small RNA-10806". The record is from RNAcentral. Lineage: Eukaryota; Metazoa; Arthropoda; Insecta; Lepidoptera; Bombycidae.
AAUCGUCUACCAUCCUCGCCAGUGGCGAACGA